Molecule: non-coding RNA, 22 nt
Filed under: Arabidopsis thaliana (thale cress)
Lineage: Eukaryota; Viridiplantae; Streptophyta; Magnoliopsida; Brassicales; Brassicaceae
Source: RNAcentral
GGUCAUAUGGUACAUUCUCCUA